GCUGGCGGCAGGCCUAACACAUGCAAGUCGAACGGAGUUAUAUUGUAGCUUGCUAUGGUAUAACNNANNGGCAAACGGGUGAGUAAUGUAUAGGAAUCUACCUAGUAGUACGGAAUAAUUGUUGGAAACGGCAACUAAUACCGUAUACGCCCUACGGGGGAAAAAUUUAUUGCUAUUAGAUGAGCCUAUAUUAGAUUAGCUAGUUGGUGGAGUAAUAGCCUACCAAGGCAAUGAUCUAUAGCUGAUCUGAGAGGAUGAUCAGCCACACUGGAACUGAGAUACGGUCCAGACUCCUACGGGAGGCAGCAGUGGGGAAUAUUGGACAAUGGGCGAAAGCCUGAUCCAGCCAUGCCGCAUGAGUGAAGAAGGCCUUUGGGUUGUAAAGCUCUUUUAGUGAGGAAGAUAAUGACGGUACUCACAGAAGAAGUCCUGGCUAACUCCGUGCCAGCAGCCGCGGUAAUACGGAGAGGGCUAGCGUUAUUCGGAAUUAUUGGGCGUAAAGGGCGCGUAUGCGGAUUAGUAAUUUAAAAGUGAAAUCCCAAGGCUCAACCUUGGAAUUGCUUU
Molecule: ribosomal RNA, 564 nt
Filed under: uncultured bacterium
Lineage: Bacteria
Description: bacterial SSU rRNA
Rfam family: Bacterial small subunit ribosomal RNA
Source: RNAcentral